RNAcentral lists this ribosomal RNA (307 nucleotides) under uncultured eukaryote. RNAcentral's name for it is "partial 18S ribosomal RNA". It matches the Rfam family "Eukaryotic small subunit ribosomal RNA", at positions 1470 to 1796 of the family's 1831-position model. The record is from RNAcentral.
CCCUUAGACGUUCUGGGCCGCACGCGCGCUACACUGACGAAGGCAACGAGCUUUCCUUUACCGGAAGGUACGGGUAAUCUUUUGAAACUUCGUCGUGCUGGGGAUAGAUCCUUGCAAUUUUUGAUCUUAAACGAGGAAUGCCUAGUAAGCGCAAGUCAUCAACUUGCGUUGAUUACGUCCCUGCCCUUUGUACACACCGCCCGUCGCUACUACCGAUUGAAUGGUUUAGUGAGGCCUUCGGAUCCGCGACUCGUUUGUGGAGAAGUUGGACAAACUCAGUCAUUUAGAGGAAGGAGAAGUCGUAACA